Calidris pugnax (ruff) is the source of this 495-nucleotide long non-coding RNA. RefSeq lists it as uncharacterized. NCBI's taxonomy places the organism in Eukaryota, Metazoa, Chordata, Aves, Charadriiformes, Scolopacidae. The transcript has 3 exons. The record is from RefSeq and is a predicted model, not a curated record.
GUUCUCUGGAGGCUGCUAAUGGUGAAAUCUGCAGUCUAAACACAGCAGUGUUUGUUCAUGCGCCAACAGUGUUUUCCAGUUCAAAUUGCUGCUUUUUUUCUUUUCUGAAAAUACACCAGAGUAACUGCGUCUGCUCUCCCUCACCUAGGCUAGACAGGAUAAACCAAGCGGUAACACCAAGCAAUGCCAAGAAGACUGAAAAUUAUAGAAGAUGCUCUCUGCUUUAUGGAUUUUGGAGAUACCACCACGGUUACAGAACAUUUAGCCACCAAAUACUGCACAAUGGAACUUUUCCUGCUGUGGAAGUAUGAUUUGGCCACAAUUCCUGCUGCAGUGUCCGUGGGUCUACCCAGCUGCUCCACCUGAAGUAGAGGAGGUAAGUCCAGGAGAAAGGAAUGAACCAGACACCACCUGAUCUUUAAAGAAAUUACGUGCAAAGAGAGGCAGAGAUUUGGCCCUUAAUGACUUUAAUUCGUUUCACUUAGCUGCCAGUAG